Danio rerio (zebrafish) is the source of this 130-nucleotide ribosomal RNA. The record is from Ensembl. NCBI's taxonomy places the organism in Eukaryota, Metazoa, Chordata, Actinopteri, Cypriniformes, Danionidae.
ACUGACAGCAUAUUUGCCAAUAUAUGCACAUUAUAGUCACUAUAUACACCGCCCACUGAAGCUAAGCAGGGCUGAGCCUGGUUAGUACCUGGAUGGGAGACCACAUGGGAAUGCUAGGUUGCUGCUGGAA